RNAcentral lists this ribosomal RNA (504 nucleotides) under uncultured bacterium. RNAcentral's name for it is "bacterial SSU rRNA". It matches the Rfam family "Bacterial small subunit ribosomal RNA", at positions 29 to 527 of the family's 1533-position model. The record is from RNAcentral.
AGCGAACGUUUGCGGCGGGCUUAACACAUGCAAGUCGAACGAGAAUCCCUUCGGGGAGGAAAGUGGCGCACGGGUGCGUAACACGUGGAUAACCAACCCAUUGGUUUGGGACAACACCGGGAAACUGGUGCUAAUACCAGAUGUGUCGCAGCUGUCUUCAGGCGGUUGCGAGAAAGGCCCGCAAGGGUCGCCAACGGACGGGUCCGCGUCCCAUCAGCUAGUUGGUGAGGUAAUGGCUCACCAAGGCAAAGACGGGUAGCUGGUCUGAGAGGAUGAUCAGCCACACUGGAACUGAGACACGGUCCAGACUCCUACGGGAGGCAGCAGUGGGGAAUAUUGCGCAAUGGGCGAAAGCCUGACGCAGCCACGCCGCGUGAGCGAUGAAGGUCUUCGGAUCGUAAAGCUCUGUGGGGGGAGAAGAAGAAAGCCGGUGAAGAGCCGGCCCUGACGGUAUCCCCUUAGCAAGCACCGGCUAACUCCGUGCCAGCAGCCGCGGUAAUGUCG